UAAUACGGAAGGAGCGAGCGUUGUCCGGAAUUACUAGGCGUAAAGAGCUAGUAGGCGGCUAGUUAAGUUAUAUGUUAAAGCCCACGGCUUAACUGUGGUUCAGCAUAUAAUACUAACUAGAUAGAGUACUGUAGAGGAAGGUGGAAUUCCUGGAGUAGCGGUGGAAUGCGCAGAUAUCAGGAAGAACACCAAAAGCGAAGGCAGCCUUCUGGGCAGUUACUGACGCUGAAUAGCGAAGGUGUGGGUAGCAAACAGGCUUAGAUACCCUGGUAGUCCACACAGUAAACGAUGAUCACUAGGUAUUGGUAUGAUAAAAAAAUAUCAGUACCGUAGCAAACGCAUUAAGUGAUCCGCCUGGGGAGUAUGAUCGCAAGGUUG
This 378-nucleotide ribosomal RNA is filed under the name uncultured bacterium. RNAcentral describes it as "bacterial SSU rRNA". It matches the Rfam family "Bacterial small subunit ribosomal RNA", at positions 521 to 896 of the family's 1533-position model. The record is from RNAcentral.